Molecule: long non-coding RNA, 3304 nt
Organism: Tachysurus fulvidraco (yellow catfish)
Lineage: Eukaryota; Metazoa; Chordata; Actinopteri; Siluriformes; Bagridae
Exons: 2
Source: RefSeq, a predicted model, not a curated record
UAAGGCUACUAACCAACAGCACUACAAUAUAUAAUUUAAUAUGUUUUGUUUAAUUAAAAUAUUAAGUUUUGGAAUGUUUUAUGUCAUAAAUUUUCUUUUUCUUUUUUUUUGGGAGGGGGGGGGGCAAGUAGGGGCACCCCAUUGUUGUUUUUGGGUGGAGGGUUGGAGAUGUCACUCUUGCCUGUCUUCAAAACUUGAGAGCCCUGGUUUUAAUAAACUUCUUUGAUGAUGUUGAUAGUAACAUCCGCUCGAAUGACGGGACCCAAAAUAUUCCAGCGGAAUAUUGGUCAGAGCAUCACACUGCCUCCACCAGCUUGCCUUCUUCUUAUAAUACAUUCCAGGUAAAAUGUACAUUGUGUGUGUAUGUGUGUGUUCUUUCCAUAUUUCAGUCCAGGUCUCCCAGUGAAGAGGUUCAGCUGCCGCUUCAUCAGCCAAGCAUUGCCAUUUCCAAUCUAAGAUGACUUCAUCCUUAGGUACACCAGCACAGAACAUGUUUUCUGUCAAGGCCACCGGGAUCCCUACUUUAUCAACAAAAUUUUGGCAUGUCUUUUGUUCCACAAGAGGAAUGGAGGUAUAUCUGAGAAACCUGGCUAGAGCACUUCUCUCUGUUUGACCAAAUCCACUUACCCAUCUGAAAAUGAAGGAGAAACAAUAAUUUUGGUUAAUUUAAUUAACUUUGCUGUUAUUUACCACAUGCAUGUAAAUGUUAUAUAAAAAGUGAGUAAGAAUAAGAAACUAUAGAAUGCAGCCUAUAGCUGUGUUGUGUUUAGAAAACAUUACCCAGUAACCCCAGGUGUAAUUUCAGUAUCUUGUGAAGGCAAACACAAUGGCAUAACAUCAGCAUUGUACAGAAUGGGCUUCUCCAGUUGAAUCAGUGCAAUAUCAUUGUCAUAGUUUGUACCAUCCGGGUUAUUAUACAAGGGGUGAAUGUGUAAAGACUUGACUUGAAGAUGUGAUAAUUUAGAUAAUUUUUGUAUAUUGGUGACUCCGACAUAUACCUGAAAACAGAUAGAAAAACCAAAAUAUGUGAAGUUCACUAGUAUCACUGCUGCUUAUCAUCCGAGUUCUGUUUGAUAAAUGGGAAAAUAUCUGUAAACCUAUGGUGAACUAAUAAUGCAUUAAUCAUAGAACUACAAUAUAAAUUCUGUAAGUUGUUAAUACCCAGUGGUCAGGUGGCUGACAUUAUUUGAGUGCUGUGCUGGUGCAAGGGCACUAAUAGAAGAACUUAAUUUUAUCCACUGAACUACUGCCAUAUGAUUAGCUGAUUGAAAAAGUGUAUAUAACAGGUCCUCGGGUGUUCCUAGUAAAGUGGUAAAUGAGUGUAUACAACAGUGUUCUGUAACCGGUUAGGAACAUUAACCAAAAUUGUUUAGAAGAGUGUGCUUAGAAGUUCUAGGCAGAAUAAGUAUGGACAAAAUAUAAAAAAUAUACAAAAUAUGACAAAAAUAUUAAUUACAUUUCAUUUGCUUUAAUUUUACAUACCAUUUAGCAAAUAUUAAGGAAAGAGAAAUCUGUAUAUGAUACCUAAAUUGAUUUUAACACUAAAGCAAAGGUUUUACAUGAAAGAGCCCAACUCCAAGUGACACAACAUACCUUUAAUUUUGUGGGAUCAUUAAUCUGGUUACUGAUCACAUUUGCUGCUGUUAAGAUCCAUUUCUCUGCUAUGAUAGUUCCCCCUCCAUGUAAGGGGCUUAUAAAGGCAUACCAGGGGAAAGCUCUCUGUGGAGCACGAUGGCCUCCUAAAACCCUCUUAUGACGCUCCAGGCCAACCAGUGGGUGACCACACUCUGAUGAUCAGACAAUUCACCCAUAUGACCAAGACAGUGUUUGCAAAAAACACUUACACACAAACAUAGAGGAGGUACUGAAGGUGAAUGUUAUUGUGAUUCUAUUCACAGUAUUACCUAGGACACAUUUUGGGGUAACGGACAUGACACUGUUUUGGUCAUCUUUCCAUUCCAUAUCUGCAUGGCAUGCGUAGGUUACUGGAGGAAAUCACAUUAAUAAACAAAUAAAUGAAUAAAUGAAGCAACAAAUUACUUUUUAACUGGUAACUGUGGUUCUAUAAAACCUAGUUAAAAAUAAACUAACCUGAUUGAAACCGAGAAGGCAUGUUUCUUUUAAUAGUUGUAAUAAAUUCAUCUCAGUAACAAAACAUACAUCUUACCAUUAUAUGUGGCAGGAAGAACGUAUGGCCUGUUACAGUGCAGCUUGAUAACAGAUUGAUAUUGAUUAUGAGCCCCAGAGAUGAAUAGCACUUCUCCGUUUAGUAAGGGUGGUGGGUUUUUACAAUGGAUGACUAUAAUUCAAAGAGAAAAGGACAUUUUAAUCGCAAAUAUGUUUAUGACUAACUUGCAUCCAAUAUGUGAGAUAAAUGAAAUAAACAGUUGGACUUACUGUGGCACUGAAGAAGAGGUAAACUCCACUGGCCAUUGCUUUGACAAGUUGAUGUGUAAUUAUUGAACAAAGCUCCUUUCUGAAACAAAUAUUAAUUCAAAUUUAUAUAUAUAAAUUGUUUAUGUAAAAUGCAAUCCAUUACCUAGGAAAAAAGUUCAUCUGUUCUUACUACAAUGAUUUUGUAGCCUGUGUCACACUGAGCACUGAUCACAUCUCUGUAGUAGUACGUGGAAUGCACUGGGAUAAUCCUCAUGUUUGUGCCUUUUGGAGACUCACACUUAAUCCCUGGGGAACAUUACACAAAACAACAAUAAACAAAUCACUCUAAAGAAGUAAGGACAAAUAAGAGUUUAUAUUUAUCUAGAAUGUGUGAUCCCCAUAACGCAUGGGUUUGGAACAAAUCGCAGACAUUAUUAUCAAUUUAGGGUAAAAUGUUGGUUCAGCACGCAUAUAACCAUAUUCCAUAUCCAUGCAAAAAUCUAUCGUGAAGCUUUCCCGUAAGAGCACACGGAUGAUGUUGACCUCACUGCCUUUCCACCACACUUCCAUUUUUCCAUUUUCUUUUGUUCCUUUUUCAAAAAUGUCAUAUAAGUUGCAUACUUUACUUCAUAAAGCAUUAAUAAAAAAACGUCUUAGCCUUAGUCCCAUUUAUAGGUACAUGUAUAUGUACUGAUUUUAUUAAGGAGUCAUUUUCUACAUAUUUGAAACAAUACUGAAUCUGUAUUACAAUAAAAUCACACAUUUUCACAUUUAAUGAAGCAUGCGUGAUUUUGCCUUGAUUAAUUAUUUUAAAUGGAUUGUUUUUUCAGUCGUAGCAAUCAUUUUGUUUAAAAAGACUGUUACAUGUGUAGUGAUCAUGUGGGAUGUCAGGAUGUAUACAGUAUUAUUAAAGAAUGUGCUAUCACAA